RNAcentral lists this long non-coding RNA (1481 nucleotides) under Chinchilla lanigera (long-tailed chinchilla). Its description in RNAcentral is "lncRNA (ENSCLAG00000023506.1)". Lineage: Eukaryota; Metazoa; Chordata; Mammalia; Rodentia; Chinchillidae. The record is from RNAcentral.
AGCUUUUCUCUUUUCCAAUACAACCUGAACUUUUUCUUUUGUAAUUUGGACAUAGUCUAUGCCACGCUCAUCUGGGCAAUGCCAACUUUAUAUUAUUCCCAAAUACAGUUGUCCUAGUUGACAUACAUUUCUGUAUAUUUACUCAGUACUGACCCUGAGAAGCUAAGGCUUCAACCACACUCUCCCUGACUCUGCAGUACAGGGAUGUUGACCAUCAUCCAGAAGGUUAGACAAAGUUGUCCAGCUCACGGGCAGUCAGAGUAACGGAGGUUCAGUUUAUCGGGCUGCAGAAGGAGUUGACAAAAGUUAACAAAAUAAUCAAACAAGAAAAGUGGUCAAAACUACAAUGGGCGCUUGUGUGAGUAGUGUAACUCAGCGUCUAACCUAGUUGUAAAGACAAAUUUGAACACCCAUGCUGACAGGUGAUAGCAACCAACUGAUGAUAAUUCUAUGAAGACUAAGCAAAUGGUUCCUUAUGGAAUUAAUUGGACUUCCAUCUCCUGUCUGCUUCUGAGGCCUGACGUCUUAUUUGGAGUGAUCUUCAAUUCUUCUUUCAUUGUCUCUUCCUGGCCUUCUGGUGCCUACUAUUAUUGUGGCGAGAGGGCCUGGGAUUCUUCCGUACCUUGAGUCACCUGCAUGUUACCAGACCUGUCCUAAAAUACCUCCUCCCUUCCCUUCUAUUGCCACAGCCACAAUCGAUGUGUAGAAAAGGAGUCACACAAAGGAAAACAAAAUCAUAGUGAUUUUCUCUGACUGAAAAAAAGAAGUCUGUUGGCAGCAAUCUUCUUUCAGCAUUCCAUUUUCCAUUCUCAACAGCUUCCUUGACAAAUUCCCUUCCCUGUUUUUUGCUUUCUUCUUAAAAAGUAAUGUGGGAACAAAUGAAAGGGACCUACACAUUUUACUACGCUGACAAUUAAGAAGCACAUGCUCAGAGUGAAAAAGUUUGGAAGCCAAUUUGAGGAAAAAAGAAAAAGGAAAAGAAAGGAUCUGUUAAAAAUCCCAUAAAACAGAAUAAAUGAAUUGUGAGAAGGCUAGAAUAUAUAAGAUUGCAAAUAAUACCAAUUUAAAGUACAGGACCUAAUCUAGUAACAUCUUAGAUUUUUCUGAAAGAAUAGUAAAUGCAUUUCAGUGUCAGAUUAUAUUUCACUAACUUGUUUUUCAAAAAAGGAAAGAUUUUUGGUCUUUUAAAAAAGCUCAACAGGUUUAUAAAGUCUGAGGAAUAAAGCAGUCUUUGUUAUAUAACUAUUUUUAAAAAGAACUGAAUUUCUACCUGUGAACGGUCUAGAAUGCAAACAGACAGACAAACCAUCAGUGAAAUAUGGUCAUUAACUGAGGCAGCUCCUUGGUGGGUGAGAGAAUCGUUUAAAUCCUUCAUAUUUUCCCCCUGGGAAAUAGCACCCUAUCACAAGACCAUCUGUAGAAAUUUUUGGCAUCUUUUCAAUUUUGCACUAUAAUUACAUUGUUAAAGGUAGAUUCAUUAA